This 338-nucleotide long non-coding RNA is filed under the name Felis catus (domestic cat). RNAcentral's name for it is "lncRNA (ENSFCAG00000041678.2)". Lineage: Eukaryota; Metazoa; Chordata; Mammalia; Carnivora; Felidae. The record is from RNAcentral.
AGAGAGGGAGAAGUUAACCAAUUCUCAUUCCCCUCAACAUCUUCUUAUAUUUCAGGGACACAAAACAAACACAUUCCCUCCUACAUACGUGGAUUCUGACCAGUUGAGCAUUUGUGAGAAGCCAUUAGGACUGAAGGCCAAAAUGAUCGUGGUGCUCGCUUUGUGCAACCCAUCACAGAUAUGGAGAAGUCACUGAGACCAGUCAGGGCAUGUAGCCUCGUGAGCAGCGUGUGGAGGCUCGUCCUGGUUGCUACUAAUGGAUCAUCUCCUUAUACAAUUGUUAGAAAACCUGCAGCUGACCAGAAACCUGCAUAAAAAAUAUCGGAGAAAUAGAGAAG